UCACGUUGAUCCUGCGUGAGAUUUCCGCUAGAGGGGGUAGAUUUAGCCAUGAAAGUGUGUUAGACUUGUUCUAACCGCAGAAUGCUGAGUAACACGUCAUUAACCUGCCUUGCGAUUUCUAAUAAUCUUGGGAAACUGAGUGUAAAAGGAAUUGGUAUCAUAAACUGGAAUGUUGUGAUGCUUAACGUAAGAUGGGAUGGCGGCUGAUUAGAUUGUUGGUGAGGUAAUGGCUCACCAAGUCUACGAUCAGUAGGGGUCGUGAGAGCGAUGACCUCCAGAAGAACACUGAGAAAAGGGUUCUAGCCCUAAGGGGUGCAGCAGGUGCGAAAACUCUACAAUGCACGAAAGUGUGAUAGGGUAACCCCUCGUGCUUACCGAGAGGUAGGCUUUUGUUAGGAGUAAUGUUCCUAUCGAAUAAGUGGUGGGCAAGACCGGUGCCAGCAGCCGCGGUAAUACCGGCGCCACGAGUGGAGAUCAUGAUUACUGGGUCUAAAGUGUUCGUAGCCGUUUUUGUAAGUCUUUUGUGAAAGUCCUAUUGCUUAACAUAGGAAUUGCAAAAGAUACUGCAAAAAUUGAGACCGGAAGAGGUAAGAAGUAUUGAUUGGGUAACAGUAAAAUGUUAUAAUCCUUUCAAGACUAACUAAUGCGAAGGCAUCUUACUGGGACGGAUCUGACGGUGAGGAACGAAAGCUGGGGGAGCGAACCGGAUUAGAUACCCGGGUAGUCCCAGCCGUAAACGCUGCGGGUUACGCUUUGCCAAAUCUACGAGAUUUGGCAGGGGGGAAGCGAAGGCAUUAAACCCGCCACCUGGGAAGUACAGCCGCAAGGCCGAGACUUAAAGGAAUUGCCGGGGGAGUACUACAAGGGGUGCGGCGUGCCGUUUAAUUGGAUUAUACACCGAGCACCUUACCAGGAGCGACAGCACAAUGAAGGUCAGAUUGAAGGUUUUACCUAAGACGCUGAGAGGUGCUGCAUGGCCGCCGUCAGCUCGUGCUGUAAAGUGUCCUCUUAAGUGAGGAAACGAGCAAGACCUAUGCCCAUAAUUACUAGCAGGGUUUACCUGCGUACUUUAUGGGGACUGCCUUAGUAACAAGGAGGAAGGUGUAGGCUACGGUAGGUCUGUAUAGCCUGAAUCUCCUGGGCUACAAGCGCGCAACAAUGGUAGGGACAAUGAGUUGCAACACCGAAAGGUGAAGCUAAUCUCGAAACCCAAUCUUAGUUUAGAUCGAGGCUUGAAACUCAGCCUCGUGACACUGGAAUCCCUAGUAACCGGACUUUAUCAGAGUCCGGUGAAUAUGUCCAUUCUCCUUGGACACACUGCCCGUCAAACCAACCAAGUGGAGUCAAGACGAGGUGUUCUUUUUUGAGGACAUCAAGUCUGGGCUACAUGAGGGGGGUUAAGUCGUCACAAGGUA
Molecule: ribosomal RNA, 1415 nt
Filed under: metagenome
Description: bacterial SSU rRNA
Rfam family: Archaeal small subunit ribosomal RNA
Source: RNAcentral